GGUACUGUAGACUAGUUACUGCAUAUGCUUUAGUUGGAUCGAGAGUUAGUAAUCUUCCUUUUUUUUUUCUUAUGAUUACAAUGGUAUCUUAAUUUGAAACGAUCUAUGUAUGCUAUAUAAAAUAGAGCCAGUAGAGGUUUUAACUUUUAGUAUCGAUUUCAGCGUAUCACAAUUAUCAUCGAGAACAUUAGUUUUUUAUUAUUUGUUCAUUUUUUAAGGAGCUUUGCUUAGAUUUGUACAUUAUUACUAGCAGUGUAACUUUAAAUAAUACUCUGAACUACUCUUAUCUUCUACUUUAUAGCUUGUCCAUUCACACAUAACAGUUUUCUUUGUGUGUAUAGAGAUGUGCACAUACAUAUUUUUGUCUUUUACGUAUACAUUUUAAAAUUCAGUAUUUCAUCAUUCAAUAUUUGCAUUUGAUCUGGACUUGUCUGUGCCAAUAGAUAUGGUGGAAAAAAAGUGUACUAUGUUUUUGGGUGUUAAGAGGUUUGAAUUUCGUGCAAAGCUACACGAGGGCUAUCUCCACUAGCCGUCCCUAAUUUAGCAGUGAAAGACCAGAGGG
RNAcentral lists this unclassified non-coding RNA (562 nucleotides) under Limulus polyphemus (Atlantic horseshoe crab). RNAcentral's name for it is "gastrula zinc finger protein XlCGF8.2DB-like, transcript variant X6". Lineage: Eukaryota; Metazoa; Arthropoda; Merostomata; Xiphosura; Limulidae. The record is from RNAcentral.